GUGGGGAAUAUUGGACAAUGGGCGAAAGCCUGAUCCAGCCAUGCCGCGUGUGUGAAGAAGGUCUUCGGAUUGUAAAGCACUUUAAGUUGGGAGGAAGGGCAGUAAGUUAAUACCUUGCUGUUUUGACGUUACCGACAGAAUAAGCACCGGCUAACUUCGUGCCAGCAGCCGCGGUAAUACGAAGGGUGCAAGCGUUAAUCGGAAUUACUGGGCGUAAAGCGCGCGUAGGUGGUUUUGUAAGUUGGAGGUGAAAUCCCCGGGCUCACCCUGGGAACUGCCUCCAAAACUGCAUGACUAGAGUACGGUAGAGGGUAGUGGAAUUUCCUGUGUAGCGGUGAAAUGCGUAGAUAUAGGAAGGAACACCAGUGGCGAAGGCGACUACCUGGACUGAUACUGACACUGAGGUGAGAAAGCGUGGGGAGCAAACAGGAUUAGAUACCCGUGUAGUCC
Molecule: ribosomal RNA, 450 nt
Filed under: uncultured bacterium
Lineage: Bacteria
Description: partial 16S ribosomal RNA
Rfam family: Bacterial small subunit ribosomal RNA
Source: RNAcentral